UACGUAGGGUGCAAGCGUUAAUCGGAAUUACUGGGCGUAAAGCGUGCGCAGGCGGCUUUGUAAGUCUGACGUGAAAUCCCCGGGCUCAACCUGGGAAUUGCGAUGGAGACUGCAAGGCUUGAAUCUGGCAGAGGGGGGUAGAAUUCCACGUGUAGCAGUGAAAUGCGUAGAGAUGUGGAGGAACACCGAUGGCGAAGGCAGCCCCCUGGGUCAAGAUUGACGCUCAUGCACGAAAGCGUGGGGAGCAAACAGG
Molecule: ribosomal RNA, 253 nt
Filed under: uncultured bacterium
Lineage: Bacteria
Description: partial 16S ribosomal RNA
Rfam family: Bacterial small subunit ribosomal RNA
Source: RNAcentral